AUACGGAGGGGGCUAGCGUUGUUCGGAAUUACUGGGCGUAAAGCGCGCGUAGGCGGUCUGUUUAGUCAGGCGUGAAAGCCCUGGGCUCAACCCAGGAACUGCGUUUGAAACUGGCGGACUAGAGUUCGGGAGAGGAGAGUGGAAUUCCCAGUGUAGAGGUGAAAUUCGUAGAUAUUGGGAAGAACACCAGUGGCGAAGGCGGCUCUCUGGACCGAUACUGACGCUGAGGUGCAAAAGCGUGGGGAGCAAACAGGAUUAGAAACCCUAGUAGUCC
Molecule: ribosomal RNA, 274 nt
Filed under: uncultured bacterium
Lineage: Bacteria
Description: partial 16S ribosomal RNA
Rfam family: Bacterial small subunit ribosomal RNA
Source: RNAcentral